RNAcentral lists this ribosomal RNA (253 nucleotides) under uncultured bacterium. RNAcentral describes it as "partial 16S ribosomal RNA". It matches the Rfam family "Bacterial small subunit ribosomal RNA", at positions 524 to 776 of the family's 1533-position model. The record is from RNAcentral.
UACGUAGGGUGCGAGCGUUGUCCGGAAUUAUUGGGCGUAAAGAGCUUGUAGGCGGUCUGUCGCGUCUGCUGUGAAAAUCCGGGGCUCAACCCCGGACUUGCAGUGGGUACGGGCAGACUAGAGUGUGGUAGGGGAGACUGGAAUUCCUGAUGUAGCGGUGAAAUGCGCAGAGAUCAGGAGGAACACCCGUAGCGAAGGCGGCACUCUGGGCCGAUACUGACGCUGAGGAGCGAAAGCGUGGGGAGCGAACAGG